Molecule: long non-coding RNA, 1035 nt
Filed under: Fragaria vesca (wild strawberry)
Lineage: Eukaryota; Viridiplantae; Streptophyta; Magnoliopsida; Rosales; Rosaceae
Description: long non-coding RNA (FVES_LNC005544)
Source: RNAcentral
UGCUUCUUUCUUUCUUAAGCCAGUUCUCCCAAAUAAUGAAGCAGCUACCUCCCACAUUGUCAAUUCACAGAGACAAAGCAAAAGCUACCAUAGCAAUUAAAGCACUGCAGAGAAGUUGAAAUGAAAAGAAAGAAUUUUGGUUCCUGUCCAUUCAUCCAAAACUAAACAAAAAUCAUGGUAAACAUCUAAAAGAAACAAAUAUCAUAGUAUGAUCAUUAUAAAACAGGUCACUAAUAAAUAAUUACCAGAAUAUCAAAGAUCACUUAGUGACUUCUCUACUCACCUAGAUUGAACCCCUUCAUAUAAAUUCUAAAUCGUGUAGACCUGAAAAACAAAGCUGCACCUUCAAUUGCAGCAAUAAAAUUCUGUAAUCUUCAGAGCUGCAUAAAGCAUGACUUACCUUUGUAUAUCUCAAGUCUUCUUCCCUGCAAACACAGACCAUGAAAAUUAAUCCAUCGAUCAUUUACUCUCAUUCAUAGCAAAUCAAUUUUGAUCUAAAAAGCAAACCCCAAAAAGUAUAAGUAAAAUCUCAACCAAAAAAUUUCUUUUUAGUUUGCAGAAACAUACCCGGUUUGUUUCCAUGGAAUUUCCCAAUUGGUCCUCUAUUUUCAUCAGCGGCCUCUACUCAAUUUUUCAAGGCCAGUAUCUUUCCUCAAAUCCAAGUCCACAAACAAUCUCACACAUUCAUGGCCUCAAAAUCAAUGGAAAACAUAAUCCACAAUCAAUGGAAAUAUUGUGUUAGGCAAGAAUCGCACAGGAUUCACAAUCAAACACAAAGAUUCAAAAUUGUUGGAAACAAACAAAAAUCCAAUUAUCUCCCAAGCCAAGUUUUCAUCCAAAACCCAGUUCAUCAUAGCAAACCCAACCAUAAUCAAACACAAAGCUUCAGUAUUGACCAAAACAAAUCGAAACCCAAUUCCUUAAAUCCCAUUCAGAAUGAAGAUGCAUUGAUUCUGGAAAUAAUUUUAAAUCGUACCUCAAGACUUCAUCGAAAUCCACUUUAGUUCUUCGUUCAAAAUCUCCAUCUCGGUUGGC